UGCCUCUCUAGCGUGGGCUGUGGCUUGCUGCAUCGAAAAUGGAGAUGCCCGUCAUUUUCCCGCCUAAUUGGACAGCCUGGGCCUUGUUUACCUGCUCUGGGAAACGCAGCUAGCAAUUCCCGCCCAGGCGGUUCCCGCUGAUUGACUGCAACAGCAACGAAUGCCAAAUCUACGCACUAAAAUAAUCAUAUACAAAACGGCGUAGGAUCAAACCAUGGGACCGCUUGGACCAUGGUUGAUUCUCCGGGCCCAAAUAUACCUCCCGAAACUUUCGUAGAACCCAAUUUCACACCUCAACCCAGCCAAACCCUGGUGAAAAU
Molecule: small RNA, 320 nt
Filed under: Histoplasma capsulatum
Lineage: Eukaryota; Fungi; Ascomycota; Eurotiomycetes; Onygenales; Ajellomycetaceae
Also listed under: 1 other name
Description: hypothetical RNA
Source: RNAcentral